GAUGAACGCUGACAGAAUGCUUAACACAUGCAAGUCAACUUGAAUUUGGGUUUUUAACUUAGAUUUGGGUGGCGGACGGGUGAGUAACGCGUAAAGAACUUGCCUCACAGCUAGGGACAACAUUUAGAAAUGAAUGCUAAUACCUGAUAUUAUGAUUUUAAGGCAUCUUAGAAUUAUGAAAGCUAUAAGCACUGUGAGAGAGCUUGCGUCCCAUUAGCUAGUUGGAGAGGUAACAGCUCACCAAGGCGAUGAUGGGUAGCCGGCCUGAGAGGGUGAACGGCCACAAGGGGACUGAGACACGGCCCUUACUCCUACGGGAGGCAGCAGUGGGGAAUAUUGGACAAUGGACCGAGAGUCUGAUCCAGCAAUUCUGUGUGCACGAUGAAGUUUUUCGGAAUGUAAAGUGCUUUCAGUUGGGAAGAAAAAAAUGACGGUACCAACAGAAGAAGUGACGGCUAAAUACGUGCCAGCAGCCGCGGUAAUACGUAUGUCACGAGCGUUAUCCGGAUUUAUUGGGCGUAAAGCGCGUCUAGGUGGUUAUGUAAGUCUGAUGUGAAAAUGCAGGGCUCAACUCUGUAUUGCGUUGGAAACUGUAUAACUAGAGUACUGGAGAGGUAAGCGGAACUACAAGUGUAGAGGUGAAAUUCGUAGAUAUUUGUAGGAAUGCCGAUGGGGAAGCCAGCUUACUGGACAGAUACUGACGCUAAAGCGCGAAAGCGUGGGUAGCAAACAGG
This 734-nucleotide ribosomal RNA is filed under the name uncultured Fusobacterium sp. RNAcentral describes it as "bacterial SSU rRNA". It matches the Rfam family "Bacterial small subunit ribosomal RNA", at positions 28 to 776 of the family's 1533-position model. The record is from RNAcentral. Lineage: Bacteria; Fusobacteriati; Fusobacteriota; Fusobacteriia; Fusobacteriales; Fusobacteriaceae.